CGCCUCUUGCUAAUAAUAAGAGGUCUGGCCUGCCCAGUGAUAAAUUUAACGGCCGCGGUACCCUAACCGUGCGAAGGUAGCAUAAUCACUUGUUCUUUAAAUAGGGACUCGUAUCAACGGCAUCACGAGAGCUGCACUGUCUCCCUUUUCCAAUCAGUGAAACUGAUCUCCCCGUGAAAAAGCGGGGAUAUAAUUAUAAGACGAGAAGACCCCAUGGAGCUUUAAACCCUAUAGCAAUUUAGCAAAGCUAUAUAACCCUGCUAGCGGUUUUAGGUUGGGGCGACCACGGAGUAAAAAUUAACCUCCAUAACGAAAAAUUAAACCUUAACCCAAGAAUUACCAUUCUAAGUAUUAGCAAACUAACGAACCAUGACCCAUUAUUGAUCAAUGAACCAAGUUACCCUGGGGAUAACAGCGCAAUCUACUUCAAGAGUCCAUAUCGACAAGUAGGCUUACGACCUCGAUGUUGGAUCAGGGUAUCCUAGUGGUGCAGCCGCUACUGAAGGUUCGUUUGUUCAACGAUUAAAACCCU
This 532-nucleotide ribosomal RNA is filed under the name Raorchestes coonoorensis (Coonoor bush frog). RNAcentral describes it as "partial 16S ribosomal RNA". It matches the Rfam family "Bacterial large subunit ribosomal RNA", at positions 1817 to 2597 of the family's 2925-position model. The record is from RNAcentral. Lineage: Eukaryota; Metazoa; Chordata; Amphibia; Anura; Rhacophoridae.